RNAcentral lists this ribosomal RNA (515 nucleotides) under uncultured bacterium. RNAcentral's name for it is "partial 16S ribosomal RNA". It matches the Rfam family "Bacterial small subunit ribosomal RNA", at positions 28 to 523 of the family's 1533-position model. The record is from RNAcentral.
GAUGAACGCUGGCGGCGUGCCUAAUACAUGCAAGUCGAGCGAAUGGAUUAAGAGCUUGCUCUUAUGAAGUUAGCGGCGGACGGGUGAGUAACACGUGGGUAACCUGCCCAUAAGACUGGGAUAACUCCGGGAAACCGGGGCUAAUACCGGAUAAUAUUUUGAACUGCAUGGUUCAAAAUUGAAGGGCGGCUUCGGCUGUCACUUAUGGAUGGACCCGCGUCGCAUUAGCUAGUUGGUGAGGUAACGGCUCACCAAGGCAACGAUGCGUAGCCGACCUGGGAGGGUGAUCGGCCACACUGGGACUGAGACACGGCCCAGACUCCUACGGGAGGCAGCAGUAGGGAAUCUUCCGCAAUGGACGAAAGUCUGACGGAGCAACGCCGCGUGAGUGAUGAAGGCUUUCGGGUCGUAAAACUCUGUUGUUAGGGAAGAACAAGUGCUAGUUGAAUAAGCUGGCACCUUGACGGUACCUAACCAGAAAGCCACGGCUAACUACGUGCCAGCCGCCGCCGUAA